UAUAUGUUGGUGUAAAGCACAAAAAGUUUUGAUCUUUUAGGGUGAGGAGAGAGGCCUCUAUAUAUAA
Molecule: transfer RNA, 67 nt
Filed under: Shinkaia crosnieri
Lineage: Eukaryota; Metazoa; Arthropoda; Malacostraca; Decapoda; Munidopsidae
Description: tRNA-Gln
Source: RNAcentral